GAAGCCCGUGCAGUAUCUGAAGUGUUUUAAUGAUCCAAAACUAACACACACAAGUUACAUCCACCGAUUUUCAGGCCAAAGUUUUCAUGCGUUCAGUGGAAGGCACUGUGGCAUGGUGGAAAAGGUAGAGGGCGAAGACUCAGAUCACCUGGUCUCCAUCAUCAUUUCUGCAUCUGGCUAUAUGAGGUGGGCUGAUGGCUGUGCCAGUUUCCUCAUUUGCACCGUGCACGAGGUCCCGCUUUGGGUGAGCUUUUCUCGCAUACAUGGUAAGCGGUGAUUGGCAGGACCCCGGAGCCCUCUUGGGCGUUAGGCUUGGGCUGCACUUGCACUGGGGGCCUACUGGGACUGUGGCGCCGUGACGAGAACGGCGGGUUGCGCGCGCAGCACCUCCGUCGCCUCCCGAUCCAGAGUCUCUGUUGCCGGGAAAACAGAGCGGCGCGCUUUCCGGCGCAGUCGCGGCGCGUCGCAGCUGUCAUGGCGGAGACCGUCUGGAGCACUGACACCGGGGAGGCAGUGUAUCGCUCCCGGGACCCCGUGCGCAACUUGCGCCUCCGGGUUCACCUGCAAAGAAUCACAUCAAGCAACUUUCUUCAUUAUCAGCCUGCUGCCGAGCUCUGGAAGGACCUCAUAGACUUGGCCACUUUUAGGCCUCAGCCAACUGCCAAGCAAGAAGUGGUGCUGGUUCGGCUCAAGCAUUUGACUCACUCUGUUGUCUUUGGAGGUGGACACCGCCCAGAGGAAGACGAAGAGGAGGAGAUUGUGAUUGGGUGGCAGGAGAAGCUCUUUAGCCAGUUUGAAGUAGAUCUGUACCAAAAUGAAGCAGCCUGUCAGAGUCCUUUGGAUUAUCAGUACCGUCAGGAGAUCCUGAAGCUGGAGAAUUCAGGUGGCAAGAAGAACCGACGAAUCUUUACCUACACUGACUCUGAUAGAUACACCAAUUUGGAGGAGCACUGUCAGAGAAUGACCACUGCAGCCAGCGAGGUGCCUUCAUUCUUGGUUGAGCGAAUGGCAAACGUCAGGCGGCGCCGGCAGGACAGACGAGGGAUGGAGGGCGGCAUCCUCAAGUCACGCCUUGUCACCUGGGAGCCCUCAGAGGAGUUCGUCAGGAACAACCACGUCAUUAACACCCCUCUUCAGACAAUGCACAUCAUGGCAGACCUGGGGCCCUAUAAAAAGCUUGGCUAUAAGAAGUAUGAACACGUCCUGUGUACUCUGAAGGUGGAUAGCAAUGGUGUGAUCACAGUAAAGCCUGAUUUCACGGGCCUCAAAGGACCCUACAGGAUCGAGACGGAGGGAGAGAAGCAGGAGCUGUGGAAAUAUACGAUCGACAAUGUUUCCCCCCUCGCACAGCCAGAGGAGGAGGAGCGGGAACGGCGUGUGUUCAAGGAUCUUUAUGGCCGGCACAAGGAGUAUCUCAGCAGCCUCGUAGGCACUGACUUUGAGAUGACUGUCCCAGGUGCCCUCCGGCUCUUUGUAAAUGGAGAGGUAGUUUCAGCCCAAGGCUAUGAGUAUGACAAUCUCUACGUCCACUUCUUUGUGGAAUUGCCAACUACUUACUGGUCAAGCCCAGCAUUCCAGCAGCUCUCAGGAGUAACACAGACAUGCACCACCAAGUCCCUGGGAGUGGACAAGGUGGCUCACUUCUCCUACCCAUUCACAUUUGAAGCCUUCUUCCUCCAUGAGGAUGAAUCUUCUGAUGCACUCCCGGAGUGGCCUGUGCUCUACUGUGAGGUCCUCUCGCUGGACUUCUGGCAGAGGUACCGUGUGGAAGGCUAUGGGGCUGUGGUGCUGCCUGCCACUCCAGGUAACCGCUUGUCCCCGCCCUUCCGUGGCUCACAUGCCCUAGGCCCUACGAGCAAGACUAACACUCGAAUGCUUCUGGUGAGGGGUGGGGAUAGCUGGGAAUUAGAAGCAUUUGGCUUGAAAGAGUUCCUGUUCCUCUGAGGACUAUCUGCCCCACUCCACUAGAGACAAUAGCGUGGCCUUGGCGCUGACUUCCCGACAGUCUUGCCAUGUGCUUCGUGCUCCUCUGAUUGGACUCAGGGUGAGAAGCUGUAUGGCAAAAUCAGCUCAUAGCAUGUGUGUAUGGAAUGAAGCAGCAUUCAGUUUGGAAUAAAAGCAUCUGUCUUCUACUGUGUGCUAGGCAUUGUGCCAUACUUCUCACUUAAUUCUCCCAGCCACUCUGUGCGGUGCAGGUGGUAUUAUUUCCAUUUUACUAGAUGAGGAGAAUGAACUUCAGGGAGGUUAAGAAACCUGUCCUGGGUAUGCAGGGAAUAACUGGCAGAGCAGAAAUUUGAAUUUCUCCCUGAUUGACUUCCAAACAGGUGCUAUGGGUAACCAUGACAACCUUCACCAGAGGCCAGGUCAUCACCAGACCAGGUGUUUUAGCGAAGUCUAGGCCUGUGUCAUUGCUGGGGAGUCAGUGAGGGGCCACAUGCCCUUUCUGGACCCGGCCCCAGUCUCCUCUUCCCUUACGCAGGCUCACACACCCUGACAGUCUCCACAUGGAGACCUGUGGAGCUUGGCAUGGUGGCUGAGCUCAGGAGGUUUUUCAUUGGCGGUUCUCUGGAACUGGAGGACCUCUCCUAUGUGCGGAUACCAGGAUCCUUCAAGGGGGAACGCCUGAGCCGCUUUGGACUCCGCACAGAGACCACAGGCACCGUCACCUUCCGCUUGCACUGUCUGCAGCAGUCCAGGGCCUUCAUGGAAUCAAGCUCCCUUCGGAAAAGGAUGCGGAGUGUGUUGGACCGUCUGGAAGGGUUCAGCCAGCAGAGUUCCAUUCACAAUGUGCUGGAGGCCUUCCGUCGAGCCCGGCGCCGCAUGCAGGAGGCCCGGGAAAGCCUCCCGCAGGACCUAGUGAGCCCCUCUGGAACCCUGGUCUCCUAGCUCACAGCAGCCCUGGGCCACAGUGCAAGAGGACAAGAUGGGGGAUGUUUGAGGCCAGUGCUCUCCUGCCUCUUCGUCUGUCUGACUAGAGACCACGCUGGUCUGCUGGGAACCAGAAGAGCUGGGAAAUUCCCAGCUGGCCCCUCUGCCUAGCCUUCUGCAGGGUUUUCUCCCUACCCUGGGGAAAUAAAGCCAGAGACCCUGUGGCCCCCCCUUCAUGUUUGUAGUCACUGUAAAUGGGCAUCACAGCAAGGCAGGCUUUUUGGUCUGAAGCUGUUUGGGGUGACCCCAUAGUGAGUGUGGCCUUGACUCACUUUUCUGGCUUGUCUCACAGUAGCAGGGGGAUGCAGGGAUCUGCUGUUCUCCAGCCUUUAAAAAUGGAGCCUUCCUUCUUGCAAGACCAAAGAAGGAAGGAAGGAAGGUGGACGGUGAGAGGGGUCUUAAAUCCCCAGCCUGUGAGUCUCAGCCCCCUCUUUCCAGGGCAGCCUCAUUCUACUGCUUGGGGCUUGCUGAGGUUGAGAUAUGAGUUAUUUCUGAGUAGGUGAAGGUUGAAGGCAGUGCUGAGUCCUUUCUGCUAGCUGGUUGGUAUCUUUUACUGUGUUCUUUUUGUUUUUUGGGUUUUUUAAAUCCAUAAACCCCUUUUAUUUUGACUGA
Non-coding RNA from Macaca mulatta (Rhesus monkey), 3540 nucleotides. Lineage: Eukaryota; Metazoa; Chordata; Mammalia; Primates; Cercopithecidae. The record is from RefSeq and is a predicted model, not a curated record.